This 253-nucleotide ribosomal RNA is filed under the name uncultured bacterium. Its description in RNAcentral is "partial 16S ribosomal RNA". It matches the Rfam family "Bacterial small subunit ribosomal RNA", at positions 524 to 776 of the family's 1533-position model. The record is from RNAcentral.
UACAGAGGGGGCAAGCGUUAUUCGGAAUUAUUGGGCGUAAAGGGCGCGUAGGCGGCCGUGCAAGUGGAAGGUGAAAUCCCUCGGCUCAACCGAGGAACUGCCUUUCAAACUGCUUGGCUUGAGUCCGGGAGAGGUGAGUGGAAUUCCCAGUGUAGCGGUGAAAUGCGUAGAUAUUGGGGGGAACACCAGUGGCGAAGGCGGCUCACUGGACCGGAACUGACGCUGAGGCGCGAAAGCGUGGGGAGCAAACGGG